AAGUGUAAAUAAAUACAUAUAAUAAUUAUUUUAAUUUAUUUUAAAUUAAUAAAAAAUUAUAAAUCAUAUUUAUUCAAAAUUUUAUAAUAAAAUAUUUUAUAAAUUUAUAUUUUAUUAAAAAAUAUCUAUAAUAUCAAAUUUAAAUUUUUAAUGUAAAAUAGAUUAAUAGAUUUGAUAUCAAAAAUUAAAAUUUAAUUUAAUUCACGAUUUAAACUCAAAUUUAAAUUUUAAUAUAAAAUAGAUGACUAAAAAUACUACUUUUUAAAAGAUUGAUCAUAACCGUUCAUUUUUAUUUUAAAUAUUUUAGCCAGUUGAUCAUAACCGUUUGUAAAAUUGAAUUUAUAUAUGGAUAUAAAUAUUUUUUUUUAACAAAUUGAUUAUAAUCAUUCGUUCUUAUUUGAGAUAAUUUUUUAUAAAUUGACCAUAAAUGUGUAUAUCAUGUUAAUUAAAACAAAAUGAUUUAUUCGGAUUUAUUUGAGAAGUUGAAUCCGGACGGAAUGGAUAUUUAUUCGGAUUAACUUUAUUUUUUUAAUUUUUUAAUUAAAAUAUGAGUUUAAAUUUAGAAAUUAAAUAUAUG
This 577-nucleotide long non-coding RNA is filed under the name Ananas comosus (pineapple). Its description in RNAcentral is "long non-coding RNA (ACOM_LNC011199)". Lineage: Eukaryota; Viridiplantae; Streptophyta; Magnoliopsida; Poales; Bromeliaceae. The record is from RNAcentral.